This is a long non-coding RNA of Peromyscus californicus insignis, 3910 nucleotides long. RefSeq lists it as uncharacterized. The transcript is spliced from 4 exons. The record is from RefSeq and is a predicted model, not a curated record. Lineage: Eukaryota; Metazoa; Chordata; Mammalia; Rodentia; Cricetidae.
GCCGCUGCUCCGGCCGCGCGCCCCGAGGCCCCGCGCCCAACUCGCAAAGUUUGGCGGGCGGCGGCGCGCACGCGGCCCGGGGCGCACGGAGGGUCUCUGCGGCGGUGUCCGGGGUUGCCGAGUCCCCGGCGGGCUGCGGUGCGGGCCCAGGCGGCGCCGGAGAGCGCGCCCGGAACGUGGCGGUGGCGGCGGUGGCGACGAGCCCCGGGCGGCUGCGGCGGCCGCAUGUGCGAGCUCCGGCGCCGGCCCGAGCGUCGGGUCAUUUAAUUGGGGAGGAGGGAGGCGGGGCGGCGCGGGGCGGAGGGCGCGGGAGGGAGGUGGAGGCGGGGAAGCCCUCCCUCGCGCCGCCCUGCUGCCCGCCUCCACCCGGGCUCCUCCUCCCUCUCCCCCCUUCCCCGGACUCCGACUCCUCCUUCUCCUAAUCCUCCUCUCCCUACCCUCCUCCCCUGCCUCCUCCUAACCUCCUCCCCUUACCUCCUCUCCAGCCCUCCUCCCCUGACUCAUCCUCUCCUCUUGAUCCUCCUCCUUCCUCCUCCCCUGACCUCUUCUCUCCCCAACCCCCGCACCCCGCCCCCGUCCUCCUCCCUCCCCACCCUCUCUCACCCCCCUGUGUCCCAAACUAUGGCACAAUAGCGCUCAGCUCCUCUGUCUAUUCUGUGUCCAGCAGGAGCCCGCGGUGAUUCAUUGCUCCAAUUAGGGGCUCUGCAGCCCGUGGCUCGGGCUGUCUGAAGGGUCUCCUUUGGGACCCACGAAACCCAUCAGCCGCUGCCGCUGAUCUUUAAGGAAAGGUCAAGCCGGACGCAUUAGAGCCAGGUUUGGGAAAAGCAGAACCUAGGCAGUGCUGACAGACCAUGCUCUCCAGAGACCAAGGCAGGAGGAUCUCAAGUUCAAGGCCAGCCUGGGCUGCACAGUAAGACCCUGUCUCAAAGGCACAGAGUCGAGGGACCCCAGCAAACCCCACCCCCACGUGGAGCACAGCAGUGGUGGUAUCCCGGCAUGCUGGGCAAGUGCUGAACACAAGCCUGGGCCUUGCAGGAACCAGUUCCUGAAUCUCCACAGGGCCCAUGGCAUGUCAUUGCACCCCGGCUGUCUGACGAGAAGACUGAGGUUCAGAAUGAGGAGAAAUCAGCCAAUAGAAACAGCAGAAUCAUCAGGCCAUCUGGCAGAAUGGUACCUCCUAUAAUCCCAGCACCCUGGAGAUGGAUGGGAAGUUCAAGGCCAGCCUGAGCUGCAAAGUGAAACCCUGCCUCAAAAAAUAAAACCUUGGAAGGAGGCAGGACUUUUCCUUGGGUCAGCAAGAUGGCUCCAGUGAUUAAAGGUGCUUGCUACUAAGCCUGACUACCUGAGUUCAGUCCCUGGAACCUACAUGGUAGAAGGAGAGAAUCGACUCCUGAAGGCUGUCUUCUGACACAAAUGUACGCCGAGUUGGAGGUCAGUCUAUCUCAAAGAAAAGAAAAGGAAAAAGAUUUUUCCUUGACAUCACCUCUUCCUGGGGGCCUGGAGGUUUAGUUCAAGCACGGGCUAACCAUGGCCCUGAGAGAAGCAGAGGAAGCAGGUUGCACCCCAGGGGCCCCCACAGCUCCAGGUGGUGCGCUGCUCUCCACUCCCCACUGCACAGCUAUUGAUGUUGAUCAAGCUGGAAAACUGAGCGGACGGUAACGUGGAACGCCAAGGUGGACAUGGACAGUUGAGUGGCCCCUGCAACUGGGCUGGGGGGCAGCGGAGGCCUGGGAAGGGGCAGGUGGUCAGGGCCCCUGGCCACAGGGGCAGAGCAGGCCAUUUGGAAGCAAGGAGAAAACCAAUGGUCACCAUGGUAACCAGGCCCUGUACAGGGCUGCGGCUUCAUUAUGCUGUCAGUGCUCAUGGGCUGGAGACAGAUGGAAGGACCCAUGCCUAGGGUACAGGUGGGGCAGGGUAGCAGGUGCCUGCCUGCUUUCCCCUUCCCUGGGCCCGACAGUUGCUCACCCAUCAGCUAAGCAUCCUCUUUUCAAAGUGCAGCUCUGGUGCUGGGCUCUGUCGGUGCUCCCAGCCAUUCUUAGAAGUCAUUGUCCUUGGGUUAAAGAGCAAGCUCCAUGUACUGUCCCCUCCCAGGAGAGGUGAGACUCGGGGUUGUACCCUCCCCAAGAGUACCAUGUGCAUCACACCUCAGCCUUUCCACCUCCCUCGCUGCUGCCCGUCAUUCCUUACUCUCCCUUGGUCCACAGCUUGAGCCUAUACACUCGAUUUCCCCAGAGGCUCCAUUGCCUCUGAAUUCUACUUGGGACAGUCAGUGGGAAGGACUGGAGACUGGAGAGUAGGGAUAGCCUGGCCUGCUGCUGGCUGGAGUGCACCCCCCCCCACCACUGCUCCUCCAUCCACACUUUCUGGCUUCUCCUCAGCUCCCACCAGCACCCUUGACCCUGAGCCUGUGUGUAUUGUUGACCUCAUUAUUUCUUGUUCAGCUCAGCUACCACCUUCCUGGUCUCCUCCCCUCAACCCCCUGUCCUGCAGCCCCCUGCUUAGCUGCCCUUUCCUGGUAGGUACUCAUGCAGGCCUUUGGUUUCUGGGGAUUAUCCCCACCUCCCAGGAGCCUCCUGGCUGAGGCCUGGCUGGGGCUGUUUGUGAUUAUGGUUUCAAGAGUGUGGUUACUUGAUUCACAUCUGUCUCCUCCAAACUGACAAAUUCCACAGGGUGAGUGGCCAGCAUCUGGUUUUGCUCAACACUGCAGUCUAGCACACAGGAGAGAGCCUGCUGCUGGGGCCUGGAGCAAGCAGGGUAGCAGACCUAGUGUCUAUGCAAAUAAGAGACUUUAUAUGCAAAUGAGAGGUGGGAGGAGCUUACAGUAGCCCAGCUCCUGCCCCGGGAAGCUUCCCGGUUCACACCUGCUCACUGAAACUCCCAAGUUUCUACUAGCCACUGGGAUGGGGAGGGAGGGCAUGGAGGGAUGGGUGAGUGAGAGUGAGGAUGGAGGAUGGAAGGGAUGGGUGGAUUGGUUUGCAGAUAGGUGGGUGGACAGACAUAAAUGGGAGGAAAUAUUUAACCCUUGGAAAAUGUGUAGCAGUAGCUGAGGAUGGUGGCCCAGGCCUGUGAUCCGAGCACUUGGAGGCAGGAAAAUCAGAGGUUCAAGCUUAUCCUCAGCUACGCAGCAAGUCUGAGGCCAACCUGGGCUACAUGAUACUGUAUCUCAAAGAAAUAAAAAAAAAAUAAAAUAAAAAAGUCUAGUGGGAAAGACAGGCAGGCUGAAUUAAGACAAAAGCUAAAUGCCCUCUGGAGUAGAGGCUCCUGGGAUGGAGGCUGUGUCCUGUGAAGUGUGCCAAAAGGUCAAGGGGGGCAUGGCUUCAGGUCUGAGCUGUGCUCACUGUGCUGAACAAGAUUAAUGACUUGGUUGGGAGUCACUCUGAGGCCACCAGGGAGCUGCUGACAACCCUGCACCUGCCGAGGGGCACAAGCUGCUCGUGGGGCAGUGAGGGUCAGAGCUAAGGACAGCAUCUGCUCCCUUUACCCUGGUUCCAGGCUGGGCAGAGGGUCUAGACUCCAGACUCUAGACUCUAUGGCAGUGGUUCCCAACCUUCCUAAUGCUGCGACCCUUUAACACAGUUCCUCAUGUUGUGGUGACCCCCAACCAUAAAAUUAUUUUCAUUACUACUUGACAACUGUAAUUUUGCUACUGUUAUGAAUUAUACUAUAAAUAUCUGUAUUUCCCGAUGGUCUUUGGGGGUCGUGACCCACAUAUUGAGAACAAAUGUUCUAGAGCUUUAUAGGACUCAGAAUAGAUCUGAACCUGUCCAAAAUGAUGAGACCUAUGUUCUGGAGACUGGCUGAGGAGGCUAGAGCUGUAGGGGCCAUGAAUAGCCAUGACUUUCGACAUGUGUCUGGAAGAAUUGUGGGAUCUGGGGAAGUGACUCCAUCAAUAAAGAGUUUGGCAAGUUCA